UGGGGGAAUAUUGCACAAUGGGGGAAACCCUGAUGCAGCGACGCCGCGUGAAGGAAGAAGGUYUUCGGAUCGUAAACUUCUAUCAGCAGGGAAGAAGRUAGUGACGGUACCUGACUAAGAAGCCCCGGCUAACUACGUG
RNAcentral lists this ribosomal RNA (139 nucleotides) under uncultured bacterium. Its description in RNAcentral is "partial 16S rRNA". It matches the Rfam family "Bacterial small subunit ribosomal RNA", at positions 354 to 507 of the family's 1533-position model. The record is from RNAcentral.